CCUACGGGAGGCUGCAGUGAGGAAUAUUGGUCAAUGGGCGCGAGCCUGAACCAGCCAAGUAGCGUGAAGGAUGACUGCCCUACGGGUUGUAAACCUCUUUUAUAAGGGAAUAAAGUGUGGGACGUGUCCUGUUUUGUAUGUACCUUAUGAAUAAGGAUCGGCUAACUCCGUGCCAGCAGCCGCGGUAAUACGGAGGAGCCGAGCGUUAUCCGGAUUUAUUGGGUUUAAAGGGUGCGUAGGCGGCCUUUUAAGUCAGCGGUGAAAGUCUGUGGCUCAACCAUAGAAUUGCCGUUGAAACUGGGAGGCUUGAGUAUGUUUGAGGCAGGCGGAAUGCGUGGUGUAGCGGUGAAAUGCUUAGAUAUCACGCAGAACCCCGAUUGCGAAGGCAGCCUGCCAAGCCAUGACUGACGCUGAUGCACGAAAGCGUGGGGAUCAAACAGGAUUAGAUACCCUAGUAGUC
Molecule: ribosomal RNA, 460 nt
Filed under: uncultured bacterium
Lineage: Bacteria
Description: partial 16S ribosomal RNA
Rfam family: Bacterial small subunit ribosomal RNA
Source: RNAcentral